RNAcentral lists this ribosomal RNA (734 nucleotides) under uncultured archaeon. RNAcentral describes it as "bacterial SSU rRNA". It matches the Rfam family "Archaeal small subunit ribosomal RNA", at positions 1 to 744 of the family's 1478-position model. The record is from RNAcentral.
UUCCGGUUGAUCCCGCCGGACCUGACUGCUAUCGGAUUGAUACUAAGCCAUGCGAGUCUUUGUAGCAAUACAAGGCAGACGGCUCAGUAACACGUAGUCAAUCUACCCUAUGGACGGGGAUAACCUCGGGAGACUGAGAAUAAUACCCGAUAGAUCAUUAUGCCUGGAAUGGUUUAUGGUUCAAAUGAUUUUUCGCCAUAGGAUGGGACUGCGGUCUAUCAGCUUGUUGGUGUGGUAAUGGCCCACCAAGGCUAUAACAGAUACGGGCUCUGAGAGGAGAAGCCCGGAGAUGGGUACUGAGACACGGACCCAGGUCCUAUGGGGCGCAGCAGGCGAGAAAACUUUGCAAUGUGCGAAAGCACGACAAGGUUAACCCGAGUGUUUUCUGCUAAAGAAAUCUUUUGUCAGUCCUAAAAACACUGACGAAUAAGGGGUGGGCAAGUUCUGGUGUCAGCCGCCGCGGUAAAACCAGCACCUCAAGUGGUCAGGAGGAUUAUUGGGCCUAAAGCAUCCGUAGCCUGCUCUGUAAGUUUUCGGUUAAAUCUAUAUGCUCGACAUAUAGGCUGCCGGGAAUACUGCAGAGCUAGGGAGUGGGAGAAGUAGAUNGUACUCGGUAGGAAGGGGUAAAAUCCUUUGAUCUAUUGAUGACCACCUGUGGCGAAUGCGGUCUACUAAACACGUUCGACGGUAAGGAUGAAAGCUGGGGGAGCAAGCCGGAUUAGAUACCCGGGUAG